This 542-nucleotide long non-coding RNA is filed under the name Manihot esculenta (cassava). Its description in RNAcentral is "long non-coding RNA (MESC_LNC008253)". The record is from RNAcentral. Lineage: Eukaryota; Viridiplantae; Streptophyta; Magnoliopsida; Malpighiales; Euphorbiaceae.
AAGAUUUCUCAAGGACAGUCUCACGGAAGGACACAACAGGGUCUGACUUGAUGAUCUCUGCUCCACCCAUGAAAUCUUCUUGCAAAUCCUUCAAGCAAAUCUCCAGGUGAAGUUCCCCAGCACCAGCAAUGAUGUGCUCUCCAGACUCCUCAAUGGUACAUACAACCAUAGGAUCUGACUUGGCCAAACGCUUUAGACCUUCAACAAGCUUGGGCAGAUCAGAUGCAACCUUACAUUGCACAGCGACACGCACAACAGGUGAGACGGAGAACUUCAUAGCUCGAAUGGGAUGUGCAUCAACUUCCUUCUCAUUGGUCAAAGUUGCGUUCUUAGUGAUAAAUUGAUCUAAACCAACCAUAGCUACAGUGUUACCACAAGGCACAUCCUCAACAGUUUCCUGCCUCUUUCCCAUCCAAAUAACAGUUCUCUGAACACUCUUAACAUACAAGUCUUUCUUCUCACCAGGUACAUAGUUUGGACCCAUGAUCCUAACCUUUAGACCAGUUGAGACCUUGCCAGAAAAUACACGACCAAAAGCAAAG